RNAcentral lists this ribosomal RNA (191 nucleotides) under uncultured bacterium. Its description in RNAcentral is "partial 16S ribosomal RNA". It matches the Rfam family "Bacterial small subunit ribosomal RNA", at positions 335 to 524 of the family's 1533-position model. The record is from RNAcentral.
ACUCCUACGGGAGGCAGCAGUAGGGAAUAUUGGUCAAUGGAUGCAAGUCUGAACCAGCCAUGCCGCGUGCAGGAAGAAGGCCUUCUGGGUUGUAAACUGCUUUUGCCAGGGGAUAAAAUGAGCGUGCGCGCUUAAUUGAAGGUACCUGGUGAAUAAGCCACGGCUAACUACGUGCCAGCAGCCGCGGUAAU